This 156-nucleotide ribosomal RNA is filed under the name Escherichia coli. Its description in RNAcentral is "partial 16S ribosomal RNA". It matches the Rfam family "Bacterial small subunit ribosomal RNA", at positions 1 to 148 of the family's 1533-position model. The record is from RNAcentral. RNAcentral also lists the same sequence under 1 other name. Lineage: Bacteria; Pseudomonadati; Pseudomonadota; Gammaproteobacteria; Enterobacterales; Enterobacteriaceae.
UUAAAUUGAAGAGUUUGAUCAUGGCUCAGAUUGAACGCUGGCGGCAGGCCUAACACAUGCAAGUCGAACGGUAACAGGAAGCAGCUUGCUGUUUCGCUGACGAGUGGCGGACGGGUGAGUAAUGUCUGGGAAACUGCCUGAUGGAGGGGGAUAACU